RNAcentral lists this transfer RNA (87 nucleotides) under Gammaproteobacteria bacterium. RNAcentral describes it as "tRNA-Leu". It matches the Rfam family "tRNA". From Rfam's summary of the family: Transfer RNA (tRNA) molecules are approximately 80 nucleotides in length. Their secondary structure includes four short double-helical elements and three loops (D, anti-codon, and T loops). The record is from RNAcentral. Lineage: Bacteria; Pseudomonadati; Pseudomonadota; Gammaproteobacteria.
CCCCGAGUGGCGGAAAUGGUAGACGCAGCGGACUCAAAAUCCGCCGUCAUUUAUGACGUGUGAGUUCGAAUCUCACCUCGGGGACCA